CACUGGGCUUCCCUAAGAAGCUCCUCUGUUCCCCCAACUCUCAUUUCCCUCCUUUUUUUUUUCAGAAUUUCCCGAGAAAAUUCUGCUUUUGCUGAAAUUAUGGAGGAAGAGAGGGAAUUCGAGGAAGAGGAAGGAGUUUGGGUUGUGAAUGGGGAGGUUGAUGAAGGUGAAGUUGAUUGCGAAGUAGAAAGUGAUCAUACUGAGAUGAGUGACGGUGUUGAAGUAGUAGAUGGAGACGAUGAUGAGGAGGACGGUGGCGACGACGAGGAUGAGUCGGAGGAGUUGCACAACUCCGGUAGGCCUCCGGUUCAGUUGGUGGAUGAUGACGGUGAGGGCGAAGGUGACGAUGACAGUGAGGGACACGACGAGGAGGAGGACGACGAAGGAGAUGAUGUAGAUGUAGAAAUGGCAGAUGUAGCAUUGAUCGAACAAGCUGAUUCCGGAUCUGGAAAGAAAGCUGCCCAAAGGAAAACACUGUUGGUGGCCAACUUAUUCUUUCGUGCUCGAGAAGCUGAUUUAUGGGCUUUUUUUAAGGAAUAUGCGGGAUCAAUUGUUAAAAUCAUUCUUGGAUAUCAAAAUGGCAUUUUUCAGCGCUUGGCCUUUGUUGAGUUUACUACCGUAGAAGUGGCAAAAAAGGCUCUCGAGUUGAAUGGGGAAGAAUCACAGAAACGUCCCUUGACACUUGAAUUUGUUGAGGAAGGGAGAUCAUACAAUGAAUUUUUCAGCAAUGAGGAAAACUCGUACCAGGAGGGAGGGGAAGCUCAAGGGAAUACCAUCUAUGUAGAAGGUUUUGAUACAAGUGGUGGCGAGAGACAGAUUAGGGAUUCACUGGAAAAACAUUUUGUUCAUUGCGGAAAGGUUUUAGAGGUUUCCAUACCAGAAGAUUAUGAUGGUGGUGUGGGAUGGAUUGCUUCCAUUGAAUUUAAGAAUAUCAAAGGUUUCAACAGAGCUCGUAAACUCAAUGGUUCUAAACUUGGUGGCUGUACUUUGAAGGUAGAAGCAGGAAAACCAAAAAGAGAAGCAAAUGCAGAAGCAAAUGCAGCAAAUGCAGAAGCAAAUGCAGCAAAUGCAGAAGCAAAUGCAGAAGGGGGUGCUAGUACUAGUGGUGGUGGUGGUGGAGCCACCAAGAAAUUUUGGACGACCGGGACAGGUAUGUAGUCUUCAUGCUUGUUUUAAUCAUGUUAUGUAGACCUAAGCCAUUGCUGAAAAUGAUUUUGGACGACCGGGACAGGGAAGCAUACCGUGUUUCCAGACUUGGACUGAUAUGACAAAGAAGAGAGUUGUAAAUCCGAUCCCCAAUUUCAUGCUUACAAUCAACCCUGUCAAUUGUCUGCAUCAAACAGCCAAAUUUUAUGGUUUUUUUUUUUAUUUUUAUAGCUGUAUAAAAAUCAAAUGCAAAACAUUAUCAGCCUAACACGCUUGACAUUGUAAUUCUCAGAAAGAUGUAUAAAUUUUCUACACAAGAGUUAGUAGUAGAAUGGUGUUUUCAUAUUUUCUACACAA
RNA transcript from Cornus florida, 1503 nucleotides. It is a transcript of the gene named nucleolin 2-like, with no coding region annotated. The record is from RefSeq and is a predicted model, not a curated record. NCBI's taxonomy places the organism in Eukaryota, Viridiplantae, Streptophyta, Magnoliopsida, Cornales, Cornaceae. The transcript has 10 exons.